Molecule: long non-coding RNA, 206 nt
Filed under: Sorghum bicolor (sorghum)
Lineage: Eukaryota; Viridiplantae; Streptophyta; Magnoliopsida; Poales; Poaceae
Description: long non-coding RNA (SBIC_LNC006873)
Source: RNAcentral
GUGGAUAGGUGCAUUUGUGGUAUUUGUGGUUAAUUUCUGUUUCUUUGGGAACAACUCUCUAUUGAAACUUUUCAGGAAAGACAUGGGCUAUCUUUAUUAUUUAUUUUUUAUUCAGGGGGGCGGGCAUCUAGUACCCAUUGUUUUAACUACUAGGACAUUUGUCCAUCUUUUACUCCCUUUCCUUCUUUUAUAUUUUUACAUGGCCA